Molecule: transfer RNA, 72 nt
Filed under: Pangasius djambal
Lineage: Eukaryota; Metazoa; Chordata; Actinopteri; Siluriformes; Pangasiidae
Description: tRNA-Lys
Rfam family: tRNA
About the family: Transfer RNA (tRNA) molecules are approximately 80 nucleotides in length.
Source: RNAcentral
ACCUGGCUAGCUCAGUUGGUAGAGCAUGGGACUCUUGCUCUCAGGGUGUGGGUUUGAGCCCCACACUAGAUC